Molecule: ribosomal RNA, 272 nt
Filed under: uncultured prokaryote
Description: partial 16S ribosomal RNA
Rfam family: Bacterial small subunit ribosomal RNA
Source: RNAcentral
UACGUAGGGGGCAAGCGUUAUCCGGAUUUACUGGGGUGUAAAGGGAGCGCAGACGGAACUGCAAGUCUGAUGUGAAAGCCCGGGGCUCAACCGCGGGACUGCAUUGGAAACUGUAGAUCUGGAGUGCCGGAGGGGCAAGCUGAAUUCCUGGUGUAGCGGUGAAAUGCGUAGAUAUCAGGAGGAACACCGGCGGCGAAGGCGGCUUACUGGACUGUAACUGACGCUGAGUCACGAAAGCGUGGGUAGCAAACAGGAUUAGAUACCCCCGUAGU